Long non-coding RNA from Quercus lobata, 1006 nucleotides. RefSeq lists it as uncharacterized. Lineage: Eukaryota; Viridiplantae; Streptophyta; Magnoliopsida; Fagales; Fagaceae. The record is from RefSeq and is a predicted model, not a curated record. The transcript is spliced from 3 exons.
UGGCAUUGUUGUCUGUGUCAUUGUCAACCUUCAAUUUUUUUUUAAAAAAAAAAUAAUAUUGAUUGGUAUGGCAAUGGCAUCCGCAUCGGUCGGCGGCGGAUAGAAGCGUUGUGAGCUUUAGGAUUUCAGAGGCUCGACUUGGAUCCAAACCCCCCUUUGGGCAUAAAUAUUAAAUAGCUCGCAUUCACAUUGAUUUUCUUUAUUUAUUUAUUUUUCCAAUUUACAAAUUUGAUUGUUACUUGGAUCUUUUUUUUUAAUUAUUAUUUAAUAAUUGAUAUUCUUUUUUCAUUCUUAACCAGCUUUAACUCAGAUGAAGCUGUGAGCACAACAAUCAGAUUGAAAGCUUUUAUUUCGAAAGCUUUUUAUGGCCUAUUGAACAGCUUAAAAACGGCUGCGAUUAAAGUGGUGGAACUCAUUUUUGAAGCACUUGUUUACCUACUGAACAGUGAUGAAACUUGAAGUUUCUUUGAAGCCUUUCAUGAGUUUCUUACCUUUCUCCUUCUAUUUUUGGCUUCCUUAAUUGGUUUACACUUUCAAGCUUUGGGCAAAUCACCACUUGACUCGCAUUUUGCCAUCAUCUUGCUUCUUAUCAUGGCUACAAUUGCCUAUGGCAUUGCAUAUCUGGAGAACAAACUACAGCCUCAAGACACCGAGCACCACUCAAUACGCAGGCUCAUAUGCUUGCUCUGUGGAAUCGUUGCAUUUCAGCUAGCUCUCGCAAUACUCAUUUGCCCGUAUUGGUUAUUCAUGGUUAAUUUAUGGCCAAUCCUAAUUGUGGGGGUACUACGUCAUUCAUACCAACAAAUCUACCACGCAGCUAAUGUGGUACUAAAAGCAGGACCUAGCUUGUUUCAAAAGAUUUAUCAGUUCUUUUAUCAGAUAUAUGAGUGGCUCCUACAGAUAUUCAAAUCAAUUUCUCUGGCCGCUUCUCAAGCAUUUUCUUCAAAGGAACAAGAAGACAAUCAGAUGGCAUAAAUUGUUUAACGAAAAAAAAAAUGCCACUUAU